AUUUGUGAUAAUGAAGGGAUGAAUUGUGCCUGCUUGGCAGUGUGACAGUGACUUGCAAUUAAUUCUGCUGUUAAUUGUGGGCAGCAGGAACCUGCAGGGCACAAGGGCAGGAGUUUCCUCCCCAGAAAUGUCCCUGAAAUCAGGAGCAAAGGAGUGACACAGCAAAGCCCUGGUGCUGAUCACAGUCCCAGGCUGCUUGAAGAACACCAAAAACCCCAAAUCAAACCUCCAGGAAAAGCACAGGCUGAUGAUUAAUCAAUGCCCAGCCAAUCAAUCCAUUGAAUUCUGGAGCUCCUCACACACUUUGUAAGAGCUGCUGAAGGAGAAGGAUUUGAAAAAAAAACCCAUCAAAUUGAAUGGGUCCAAUGUUCCUCUCUGUUACAGACAAAUUAUCAACACAUUACAAAGGAAGUCUGGAGAAUUCCUCACAUUUGCUGUGCUCUCCAAGCCCUGGAUAACAACAUUUCUGCUGAAAUGCCACCCAGCUUUGCCAAGCGGGAGGAAAAUGCCUCCAAACCCACUCCUGCUCCCUCCUCCACAGCCUAUAAAUACAAACCAGCGUGGAGAUUUACGAGGGAGAAGACAGGAGAGAAAAAAGGCCCAGUCUGGCACUCAGCUCCAGCUGAAGGCUGGUUUACAGAAAUGUGAUUUAUGGCCCAGCUGGCAGCUCAUCCAUGGAGUGAUUUCCUCAUCGCCCAUUUGAGCCACACUUUGAUUUUCCUGGUCUGGAAACCUGGGCUGGGGUGGAAUUUCAGUGAAUUUCAGCCCUGGGAUGAAAAGAAUAAAGCAGUGGGGAAGCCAGGGUGUCCCCAGGACUCCAAGGGAUCAGUGGCAGAUGCUCUGAUGGUGCAGGAGAUCCAGAUUCUCCUGCUGCCCUGGAAGGCCUGAGCUCCACAGGCGUCCCCAAACUCCCACAGGUGUCCCCAGAGCCCUGUGUGUCCCCAAACACCCACGGGUGUCCCCAGAGCCCUGUGUAUCCCCAAACACCCACGGGUGUCCCCAAACCCUCCCCUGUGCCCUGGAUGUGGGCCCACAGGGCCUUCCUCCACCUGGGGCUGUAACAAACACAAAAAGCAACAGGGAUUCCUUCCAUCAAGAGGUCACCAAAACGAUCAGAAAUGGUCCAAAUGGCCGAAAGAUAGCCCCAAAUGACCAAAAUUAUCCACAAAUAUUGACAAAUAUGGGCCAAAAAUAUUGGCCAAAAAUGGGCCAAAAAUGGCCUAAAAUAACUUUGAGUGACGCGAGUGACCACAACCCCAAACUGCCCCAAAGAUGACCCCAAAAUGUCCCAAAACUUUAAAAAAUGGCACAAAAUGCUCCCUUACAACCAUUUAAUUCAGCAUCCCUGACACCUGGAGAGUUGACCCAUUUCUGUGUGAAUUUACAGGCUCCCAGUCUGAGGCACAAACUGGGCAGGCCUUUUGUUUUCAGGGUUAUAACAGAUUGUUCAGGGUUAUAACAGUGUUUUCAGGGUUAUAACAGCUCUUUCGGGGUUAUAACAGUUCUGUUUCUCCUGCCCAGAGCAGCUUCAGCCUCUCAGCUCUAUAUAGCAACCAGAAAAUGCAGUUUGAGUGGUUUGGCUCAGAUUUUGCAGCAGCUGAUAAAGAAGAACCCAGCUGUAAGGGAGCAUUGCCGUCACCUGAGGGCUCUUUGGUGUUCCCCAUGAAAGGAGCUCUGUUCAAAGAGGAACCAGCACCUCAGACCUAAAAUAUCCCAGCUCAUUGAAACCCUCAGCAGAGAGGCCUGUUUCAGUUUUACAGAAGACAAUUGAGGCAGAAAAUGCGGGGUUGUGAGGGUGUUUCUUCUUUUCUUCGACUGAUGUUCACAAUUUUGUG
Molecule: long non-coding RNA, 1835 nt
Organism: Zonotrichia leucophrys gambelii
Lineage: Eukaryota; Metazoa; Chordata; Aves; Passeriformes; Passerellidae
Exons: 4
Source: RefSeq, a predicted model, not a curated record